GCGGAGCCCGGCGCCCGGAAACCGCGUGUGGGACUGAGACUCGGAUCUGCUUUUUCUGGGAGGAAGCAGGGGGCCGCCUGAAGCUACCCUCCGCUUGACUUCGGGGCCCAGCACCUUCCUCCGACCCUCAGCCCCAUCAUCCCCCUGUCCCCACAGGCUUGGGCCUGGCUGGGCCCGGGUUCGAGGGCUCCACAGGCGCUUCCCGGCCCUCCCCUCCUUGCUCCUGCCCCCAUCGACUCCUUUCUCUCCAGGGACUGGUGGGUCUCCUUGCUAGAGCAAACCGAGGCCCUUCUGGUACAAAAUGGCAUUGAGGCACAAGAUGGAGUCGGGUUGGUUAUCACAUUGGAACCUCGACCUGCCCAUGGCCAUUGUGCCCUUCAAGUCUUCCCUGCCAGUCCUCGACUAUCCAGUGCCCCUCCUGCAACAUUCUCCCCCUUCUUCAGUAAGCAGGGGACACAUUCUAAGAAAAGUGUCGUUAAGUGAUGUGGUGGUUGUGUGAACAGAUCACAAAUCACAGAAUGCAGUUAACACAAACUAGACAGCUAUGAUGUCACAAGUCUGUAUCUUAUGGGACCAUUACCCACCAAACCACAUUAUUCAAGGCAUCAUGAUACCGCCUUUUUUCUUUGCCACUGGUGCCUUCUUACUAACCUUUUCCAAGUGGUCUACCCCAUCUUCAUGAGAACAACUACCACUUUACUCUGAGGAAUUUCUAAAACCUGCCUGUCUGGUAGCCCUUGUCCAAGGUCCCUUCCUUUCCCUUGCACACUAAGCCAUCCUGGUAAAGCCUUUUGGAGUCUGGCCUUAUCAGAUUCAAAUUACACAUGGUUUCCUCAACUGUAAAGUGAAGAUAAAAAUAGUCUUAGUCUUAAAAAGGUUUUAUAAAAAUUGAAUGAGAGGCCGGGUGUGGUGGCGCAUGCCUGUUAUCCCAGCACUCAGGAGGCUGAGGCAGGAGGAGCGCUGUGAGUUCGAGACCAGCCUGGGCUACAUAGUGAGUUCCAAUUCAGUCUCAACUACACAGUGAGACCCUGUCUCAACCCCCCCCCACAAACAGUUGAAUGAGAGGAUGCUUGUAAGGUGCUUAACAUAGCACUAGCACAUAGUAGGUAGUGAUGAGUUGUGAAACAAUAAAAAAAUUUAAACUUCUUAUUUUGAAAUAUCUGUGUUCAUAGGAAGUUUCAAGAAUAGUAUAAAAAGAGCAUACACAUCCUUUAUCCAAUUUCUUUCAGUGGUAACAUCUUGCUAACUGUAGAAGGUAAACAGUUGAAUGAGAGGAUGCUUGUAAGGUGAUUAACAUAGCACUAGCACAUAGUAGGUAGUGAUGAGUUGUGAAACAAUAAAAAAAUUUAAACCUCUUAUUUUGAAAUAUCUGUGUUCAUAGGAAGUUUCAAGAAUAGUAUAGAAAGAGCAUACACAUCCUUUAUCCAAUUUCUUUCAGUGGUAACAUCUUGCUAACUGUAGAAGGUAAAAAAACGAGGACAUUGACAGUAUGUCAAAGUCUUCCUUAGACUUUGUUCAAAUGGCUCGAGUUCCACAUUCGUGCAUAGGUGUGUAUAUGCACUUGGGGUCCUAUGCAACUUUAUCACUGUGCAAAUGAGUGUAACCACCAGUUAAGGGACAUGGCUGUCCCAUCACCACAAAGCCCUAAAGAAAAUAUCUGACUCCAUUUGUCUUCCUUCCUGCUCAACUCCCACUUUUUUUCUUAAUUAGUACCUACAUGUUUACAGUGCAUAAUGAUUAUACUCAUUGUGGGGGGCUGAUGUGGGUACGCAACAUAUCCUCUUUUUUUUUUGGUACUGGGGAUCAAACUCCGGACCUUGUGCUUGCCAGGCAGGUGGCAGCACCACUGAGUCAAAUCCCUGGCCCCAUUCUAACAUAAUCUUGAAUCUUUCUUUCAUCACUUUCCUCCUUUCCCUCCCUCUGCCCUCCAGCUCUUGGUCUUCUUCCCUUUUGCAAAAGAUCUCUCUGUUUCCUAUAAUCUAUCUUUUAUUUUGCUCUUUAAUUUAUUUAUACUUUGGGUUUCUCAUAUAAGAGAAAUCGUGCAAUGUUUACACUUGUGUGUCUAAUUUGUUUCACUUAGGGUUAUCGUUUCAAUGUGCA
Molecule: long non-coding RNA, 2100 nt
Filed under: Fukomys damarensis (Damara mole-rat)
Lineage: Eukaryota; Metazoa; Chordata; Mammalia; Rodentia; Bathyergidae
Description: lncRNA (ENSFDAG00000029262.1)
Source: RNAcentral